GUGUCAGCCGCCGCGGUAAUACGAGUGGUCCAAGCGUUAGUCGGAAUCACUGGGCUUAAAGGGUGCGUAGGCGGGCCAGAAAGCGUCUUGUGAAAUCCCCCGGCUCAACCGGGGAACAGCAGGGCGAACUACUGGUCUUGAGGAAGGUAGAGGCCGGCAGAACGAUCGGUGGAGCGGUGGAAUGCGUAGAGAUCGAUCGGAAUGCCAAAGGUGAAGACAGCCGGCUGGGCCUUUCCUGACGCUGAGGCACGAAAGCGUGGGGAGCAAACAGGAUUAGAAACCCCCGUAGUCC
Molecule: ribosomal RNA, 292 nt
Filed under: uncultured bacterium
Lineage: Bacteria
Description: partial 16S ribosomal RNA
Rfam family: Bacterial small subunit ribosomal RNA
Source: RNAcentral